CAAUAAGCGGAGGAAAAGAAACUAACAAGGAUUCCCCUAGUAACGGCGAGUGAAGCGGGAAGAGCUCAAAUUUGAAAUCUGGUAGCCUUCGGUUGCCCGAGUUGUAAUCUAGAGAAGUGUUUUCCGUGCCGGCCCAUGUACAAGUCCCUUGGAACAGGGCGUCAUAGAGGGUGAGAAUCCCGUCCUUGACAUGGACCCCCGGUGCUUUGUGAUACACUUUCAACGAGUCGAGUUGUUUGGGAAUGCAGCUCAAAAUGGGUGGUGAAUUCCAUCUAAAGCUAAAUAUUGGCGAGAGACCGAUAGCGAACAAGUACCGUGAGGGAAAGAUGAAAAGCACUUUGGAAAGAGAGUUAAACAGUACGUGAAAUUGUUGAAAGGGAAACGAUUGAAGUCAGUCAUGCUCUUGGGACUUACCUCCCUUGAGUGGGGUCAACAUCAGUUUUGAUCGAUGGAUAAAGGCACGGGGAAGGUAGCACUCUCGGGUGAACUUAUAGCCUCGCGUCAUAUACAUUGAUUGGGACUGAGGAACGCAGCAUGCCUUAUGGCCGGGAUUCGUCCACGUACAUGCUUA
This 571-nucleotide ribosomal RNA is filed under the name Naganishia albida. RNAcentral describes it as "LSU rRNA". It matches the Rfam family "Eukaryotic large subunit ribosomal RNA", at positions 44 to 603 of the family's 3401-position model. Lineage: Eukaryota; Fungi; Basidiomycota; Tremellomycetes; Filobasidiales; Filobasidiaceae. The record is from RNAcentral.